This 97-nucleotide ribosomal RNA is filed under the name uncultured bacterium. RNAcentral's name for it is "partial 16S ribosomal RNA". It matches the Rfam family "Bacterial small subunit ribosomal RNA", at positions 1386 to 1482 of the family's 1533-position model. The record is from RNAcentral.
CACACCGCCCGUCACAUCACGAAAGCCAGUUGUACUAGAAGCCGGCAAUUCAACCGCAAGGAGGUAGCCGUCCAAGGUAUGACUGGUGAUUGGGGUG